RNAcentral lists this ribosomal RNA (30 nucleotides) under Neocamarosporium betae. RNAcentral's name for it is "partial 18S ribosomal RNA". Lineage: Eukaryota; Fungi; Ascomycota; Dothideomycetes; Neocamarosporiaceae. The record is from RNAcentral.
UCCGUAGGGUGACCUGCGGUAGGAUCAUUA